CUCGGCGGGGAAGAAACUUUCUAAAAAUAGUAAAUAAAAGUACUUUUCUUUAUCUCAGUAUGUUAAGAUAUUUGCUCGACGCAAGAGCAGUUGAUGGUUACUAGUUGAUAGUUGCUGGAGAAAUCCAUCAACCGACAACCAAAAACCAACAACUAACAACCUUAAGGUGGUUAUUGCGGCGGGGCUCACCUCUUCCCAUCCCGAACAGAGUAGUUAAGCCCGCCUGCGCAGAUGGUACUGCAGUUAUGUGGGAGAGUAUGUCGUCGCCUUUC
RNAcentral lists this ribosomal RNA (272 nucleotides) under Flavobacterium araucananum. Lineage: Bacteria; Pseudomonadati; Bacteroidota; Flavobacteriia; Flavobacteriales; Flavobacteriaceae. The record is from RNAcentral.